Molecule: long non-coding RNA, 1439 nt
Filed under: Triticum aestivum (bread wheat)
Lineage: Eukaryota; Viridiplantae; Streptophyta; Magnoliopsida; Poales; Poaceae
Description: long non-coding RNA (TAES_LNC014551)
Source: RNAcentral
GAUGUUCCACUGCAAGCAUGGCAAGGCCUACCUCUUCAACAAGGUGUAAGUAAUUAGAUGACAGCGCCCUGCCUCAAUCUUCAUGUUGUUAUGUGUCUCCAUGUUGCCAUCAUAGUUUUACUGUGUGCCUGUUCUCUGUGACACAGAUGCUACUGCAUUAUUAUUUAGAAUAGCUGUGCUCUGUUCUCUCAUGCUCUAUGUGCCCAUGGUCAUCAAGCAAUUGCAAUUUCUAGUGUUUUGGGCUGUUGUGAUGGUCUGUGAUCCAAAUAUACAAUGCUAGAUAUGAAAAUAUAUGAUAUGGUCAUAGCUGAAUGCUCAGUUUAGUAUUGUACACUGUCAGAAAUAUUCUUGGUAAAAUCAGUUUUGCAGCACUUCACUGAGAGAUAGAUUGUGUUCCUUAGUCCAUGUUUGCUCUGCAAUCUUUGAUCUAAGAUUCUGAUUCAGAAUGAUUGUAUCUUCAUUUUUGUCUGACAAGUUUGCCUUCUCAUCGCUGGAUCAAGGUCAUUUCAGGUUCAUCAGGCUGCCCAUGUCCAUCUACCACCCAAGCCAUGUCGCAGAGCAGCGGAGAUACUCCACAUGAUCUGCUUCAGCUGCCUCCAGUUCAAGAAUAACCUGGAUUUUCUCAGAAAGAUGUAUUAUGAGCUGAAAUUUGAAAGUGACACUAGCUGACUAGCAUAACUUGGAUUUUCCCAGAAAGACGCAUGAUUCAUUUUGAAAAUAACAGGUGUAACUACAGUAGCAAUCAUCUAAACAAAAAGCAUAUGCCAUGCUUUGUGUAACACAUAGUUCAGUAGCCUAGACAUUUGUGAUGCAAAAAUACCACCACAUUACCCAAACCCUCAAACAGUAUAAACCUCCACUCAAAGUCCAAGGUUAAUUUAAGACUGUUAAUUAAGCUAUCGAUGGCUGGUGUUUAUUUUAGUUGUAGGUUUCUGAGGAGGAUGGCAUGUGUACAGUAUAAGCACUAAUUAAUUAUAUUUUGCCGUAUGUGAUGGUCCAGCCAUCAGGCCGUGGCCGAGUGUAGAGCAGGUCACCCAGCCAAUGAUUCGGUGUUUGGAUCUGUGAUGGUGGUCUUCCGGCCACCACAAUCUUGUUAUUGUGAUAAUCUUUUUUGCUGAUGAAAUAUGUCACAAUAUUUGUGCUUUGCAAGAUUCUGUGGCUACUAUGUUGUGCUGCCUAUAUGCAUGAUUAUGUAGGAUUCUGUUCUGCCUUUCAUGACAUAUAUCAUUCUUUUGGCAUUAUGCUACCCAUAGUUAGUUAAGAGAGCUACAAAUUAUCUUUUCCUUAGGUUGGAUAAUUUUGAUUGAUUAGUGUGUGCUUGAGCACGUACAGCUGAGAGCACCUCAUGUAUUUUAUAUAGAUGUUCAUUAAAGCUAUUAUCCGCGUCUUCUGAUUAUUCACUGUAAUUGACAUCUCUACUGUAUUUGUGAAUAUAUGAA